RNAcentral lists this ribosomal RNA (804 nucleotides) under Stictis populorum. RNAcentral describes it as "SSU rRNA". It matches the Rfam family "Bacterial small subunit ribosomal RNA", at positions 345 to 1226 of the family's 1533-position model. Lineage: Eukaryota; Fungi; Ascomycota; Lecanoromycetes; Ostropales; Stictidaceae. The record is from RNAcentral.
GGGGGAGCAGUGAGGAAUAUUGGUCAAUAGCCUAACGGCUGAACCAGCAACUUGGGGGAAUGGAUACCCAAAAGGGUAGAAAAGAACUAUGUUCUAUAAAAUUCUAGGUAAAAUAAAUGAAGUGACAAUUUUUAUCUAUAUGUCUUGACCAAGUCACGUGCCAGCAGUCGCGGUAACACGUGGAAGACUAGUGUUAUUCAUCUUUAAUGGGUUUAAAGGGUACCUAGACAGUCGAUAAAGCCUAAAAUAAAAAAAAGGGACUAAUUGACUAGAGUGUAAUAUAAGAAGGUAGAACGAUGAGAGUAGAGAUAAAAUUUUUUGAUACCAUUUUAGACUGAUAAAGGCGAAAGCAAUCUUUUAUGUAAACACUGACGUUGAGGGACGAAGGCUUAUGAUAACAAACAGGAUUAGAUACCCUAGUAGUCGAAGCAGACAAUGAUGAGUGUCAUAUGUAAGUCUAAAGAUUUAUGUAUAAAUGAAAGUGUAAACAUUCCACCUCAAGAGUAAUACGGCAACGUAUAAACUGAAAUCACUAGACCGUUUCUGAAACCAGCAGUGAAGUAUGUUGUAUAAUUUGAUAACCCACGGAAAACCUUACCACAAUAUGAAUAUUUAUAUCUUAAUAUAAUUACAGGUGUUGCACGGCUGUCUUCAGUUAAUGUCGUGAGAUUUUGGUUAGUUCCAUUAAAUUAACGUAAACCCUUACUUUAUUUGUUAUAGAGUAGAUCGUCGCUAUAUUGAAUUGUGAUAAGAGGGACUAAGACAAGUCAUCAUGGCUCUAACAUUGUGGGCUAUAGACGUGCC